This 254-nucleotide ribosomal RNA is filed under the name uncultured bacterium. Its description in RNAcentral is "partial 16S ribosomal RNA". It matches the Rfam family "Bacterial small subunit ribosomal RNA", at positions 524 to 776 of the family's 1533-position model. The record is from RNAcentral.
UACGGGGGGAGCAAGCGUUGUUCGGAUUUACUGGGCGUAAAGGGCGCGUAGGCGGCCAGUGCAAGUCAGUUGUGAAAUCUCCGAGCUUAACUCGGAAAGGUCAACUGAUACUGUGCGGCUAGAGUGCGGAAGGGGCAACUGGAAUUCUUGGUGUAGCGGUGAAAUGCGUAGAUAUCAGGAGGAACACCGGUGGCGAAGGCGGGUCUCUGGGCCGAUACUGACGCUGAGGAGCGAAAGCGUGGGGAGCGAACAGG